This is a non-coding RNA of Mus caroli (Ryukyu mouse), 2134 nucleotides long. NCBI's taxonomy places the organism in Eukaryota, Metazoa, Chordata, Mammalia, Rodentia, Muridae. The record is from RefSeq and is a predicted model, not a curated record.
AUUCAGUCUUAGGGAUUGCUUUCAUUCAGCUAGGCAAAAAGGCUUUGAGCAGCCCUACAAUCGCCUUCCUCUCAUUUAUUUGUGCUAGAAUUAAGGUUUAUUUGUUUUCUGUUUUCUUCGUCUUCAGAUUGUUUCUCUGUCUUCAUCCAUUUCGCAAACCCUGUCCUCUGUAUCUCAGAAGGAAGUACCUCCAGGGCCUACAUGUCUGCAGCCCGCACAACCUCCUUUGAGUGUGUGUCUCUCAGUCUACUGGAGCUUCUGAAUAUCUCUCAAGCCCUCUGGAGGUGGAAGCAGAAGAGUCAGAAGUUCAAGGUCAUCUUCAGUUACACGAGGAGAUCAAGGCCAUCCUGAGCUACAGGGACACUUGUUAUCAGUUUUAAAUUGAUGAUUCAGUAAAUAAGAAAGCAAAAGUGUAAAUGGAGAGUGACCACAUUGACAUUGUGACGUAAAGCAUGGAUUUAAGGAUGUGUACCAAGCUCUCUAUCAACCUGCUAUUUCAGACUUUUUACUUCAUGGUAUAUGAAAAGAUGAUUCAAGAGACUAUAUUUUAUACUAAUCCUCAGAAAAGACAAACAGUUCUAUCAACUGCAACUUUCUCAUCUGUAAUACAUACAAGAGCUAAGUAAGAGGCUGACUGAAGCAGUCCUUAGGCAAGGCUUCCCUGGGUUCCGUCCUCAGCAAGAGCUUUGGAUGCCUCUCCAGACAUCACAGAACCUAUCUUCUUCUGCUUCCAUUUGGCCCUCGCAUGCCAACAUCCAGGACACUGCAUUCUGCUCUUAAGAUAUCUCUCAGGAACUCAAAGAAUGAUGCCAAGUUCCUGAGCUCCCGAGAGUAAGUAAAGUCCACUUUGAAGAUCCUGCAAGUUGUGCUACUUGAGAGAAGAACUCCCUACCUUGCACAGAAGUGGGGAGAACCUUACAGGUCAGUGCUCACAUAUGGAAUACAGUUAGAGGCCAGAAGAAGGAAAGGAGUUUUGUCUCACCAUACUAGUCGGGUUGAGAUUCGGUUCUGGGCUGGAGAGAUGGCUCAACAGUUAAGAGCACUGGGUGCUCUUCCAGAAAUCCUGAGUUCAAUUCCCAGCAACCACAUGAUUAAUGCAGCUCUCAACCUUCAUCAGAGAACCUUCCUUUGCAUCAGACGACAAACAAUAUAUGUACUCCCAAAUGGCCAAAAUGAAGAAAAUACAUAAUGGUGGAGUGCUAGGCCCUAAAUGUAACAUCUAUAUUAGCUCUCUUCACUCCAAGACUCAGAGAACAUCACAGAGGAGGUGCCAACAUGAUUUGAAGAGACAGAGACAGUGGAGGACUUCUGUGACAUGAAGGGGCUCUUACAUUUUGAGCUUCCUGGAGUUAUUAUUGCCUACAUAAGACUUCAUCAAAAGUCUACUGUGGAUGGGGAGAAGCUCCUGAGCUACCACUGGGUGCCUCUGGGUACUACUGGCAGUUCAUGAAUGCUGGGGCAAUUGGAAUCAUUUCUCUGGGAGUAUGGUCAUUGAUAGGGUUUUCAUAAUGUCACGGGUUGUCCUAUGUCUGUGUGCAGGGAUCUACCUUCAUCAUUCUGCAUUAAAUAUUUAAUUUUCCAUGUAAAUGCCUCUCUGGUUUUUGUGCCCUCCAUAAUUCUUUCACUACAGUGUUACAGUUUUAUUGUAGAGGUUUUUCAUGGCCUCCGUUAGAUUUGUUUCUAUCUAUUUCACUGUGAAUGAUGUUAUCACUGUUGCUGUAGAGGGUUUGUCCUUCCCCUCCCCAGAAGUGAGGACAGAACCUAUGGCUCUGAGCAUGAUAUCAUGUGCUGGGCCACUGGCUUUCACUCCACCCUCCUAUGUAUUAUUUGAUCAGGGGCUAUUGUGAAUUUUUUUUUUUAAAAAAUGUUAGUGUGUUAGUGGUAUGUAUAUAAAAUGUUCCUUUUUACUUGUUGAUUAUGCUUCCUAUAGCUAUUGAAUUUUUCCUGUUUCAAUACAUUUUAGUCAGUUUUUCUGUAUAUAAAAUCUUCCUGCAGAAGAGGAUAAUCUGACAACUCCUUUUCUAAUUGAAAUUAUUAUUAUUAAUUAUUAUUAUUAUUAUUAUUAUAUUCCUUUCUUCUGCUGAUUUCUCUUGUAAAAUUUCCUUUUACUGUUCUGAAUAAAAGCGGCAAAUGU